AGAGUUUGAUCCUGGCUCAGAACGAACGCUGGCGGCAGGCCUAACACAUGCAAGUCGAACGGGCGUAGCAAUACGUCAGUGGCAGACGGGUGAAUAACACGUGGGAACCUUCCUCGUAGUGCGGAACAACUCAGGGAAACUUGAGCUAAUACCGCAUACGCCCCGGAGCAAUCCGGGGGAAAGAUUUAUCGCUAUGAGACGGGCCCGCGUCCGAUUAGCUAGUUGGUGGGGUAACGGCCUACCAAGGCAACGAUCGGUAGCUGAUCUGAGAGGAUGGUCAGCCACACUGGGACUGAGACACGGCCCAGACUCCUACGGGAGGCAGCAGUGGGGAAUCUUGGACAAUGGGCGAAAGCCUGAUCCAGCCAUGCCGCGUGAGUGAAGAAGGCCUUAGGGUUGUAAAGCUCUUUUGGCAGGGACGAUAAUGACGGUACCUGCAGAAUAAGCCCAA
Molecule: ribosomal RNA, 451 nt
Filed under: uncultured soil bacterium
Lineage: Bacteria
Description: bacterial SSU rRNA
Rfam family: Bacterial small subunit ribosomal RNA
Source: RNAcentral